Prosopis cineraria is the source of this 596-nucleotide long non-coding RNA. RefSeq lists it as uncharacterized. NCBI's taxonomy places the organism in Eukaryota, Viridiplantae, Streptophyta, Magnoliopsida, Fabales, Fabaceae. The record is from RefSeq and is a predicted model, not a curated record. The transcript is spliced from 2 exons.
ACGGUUCUUCAUUUUGAAUUGUUUCUCAUAUAGCGAUUGUUACCGAUGGAUCACUAUUCCAUCUCAAACUCGAAGAAGGUGAAUGGUGUCAUAAAGAUGACUCAGAGGAGGCAGAAAUCUAAAAGCCGGCGACUCGAAGAACAUAAGCGGGAGGGAGAGAAGGAGGAGGAAUAAAGAGCUAAGACAAGAGCUAGAGAUGUUGAUGCAACGGUCGAAAGAGGAUUUUAUUCAAGAACUGGAGAGGAAAGCACAAGAACCUUUUUCUUCUGCUUUAAUUGAAGCAUUCAGUAGUAGUCCUGAAGAUAUACACAAAGAGGGUGAGAUUUUAGAAGAAAUUUCACAUCAAAUGGUGGCGUUUAGAUAUCAUCAUCAUAAGCAACAAAAAGCAGAGGCAACUUUAUCUGAUCACGUGAAGCGUCAAGAAACAAUGCAUGGAGGAGGGAGUUACGAGGAUUUAAAGGCAGAGCUAAAGAUUGUACGAGAAAUAACACGUGAAACAGAUAUUUCUUUAUAUCAUUUAAAGAAGCAGCUUCAAACAGAGGAUUCUCUACGCCUUUUGAAGAAGAAAAGAAGAUUAGCAUAGUGUUUCCCUUUCU